RNAcentral lists this ribosomal RNA (274 nucleotides) under uncultured bacterium. RNAcentral's name for it is "partial 16S ribosomal RNA". It matches the Rfam family "Bacterial small subunit ribosomal RNA", at positions 523 to 796 of the family's 1533-position model. The record is from RNAcentral.
AUACGGAGGGUGCAAGCGUUAAUCGGAAUUACUGGGCGUAAAGCGCGCGUAGGCGGAUUAGUAAGUCGGAUGUGAAAGCCCUGGGCUCAACCUGGGAAUUGCAUUCGAUACUGCUUGACUAGAGUAUGGUAGAGGGAAGUGGAAUUUCCGGUGUAGCGGUGAAAUGCGUAGAUAUCGGAAGGAACACCAGUGGCGAAGGCGACUUCCUGGGCCAAUACUGACGCUGAGGUGCGAAAGCGUGGGGAGCAAACAGGAUUAGAAACCCCGGUAGUCC